Molecule: long non-coding RNA, 233 nt
Filed under: Mustela putorius furo (domestic ferret)
Lineage: Eukaryota; Metazoa; Chordata; Mammalia; Carnivora; Mustelidae
Description: lncRNA (ENSMPUG00000029440.1)
Source: RNAcentral
CUGGGGUCCUUCGCCCACAGCUGUUUCUCCAUGAAUUGGUAACCUUCUUGGAUGGAGUCCUGGCAAGAUAAUUCAAGCACAGGAGGAAGAGGAAGAAACCAGAUUGGAAAUGCAGAACACCAGUUCCCUGCUGUCAUAUAAGUAUUUCCUGUGUAGAUGGUGAACUACAUUUUAAAAGAUUUAUUAUUUAUUUGUGUAUCUAUGUAUGUAUGUAUGUAUGUAUGUAUUUUGGG